AUACAACCGUUCCGUUGGUGAACCAGCGGAAGGAUCAUUACAGAGAUCAUGCCCUUCGGGGUAGACCUCCCACCCUGUGUUAUUUACUCUUGUUGCUUUGGCAGGCCGCCUUCGGGCUCCCGGCUCCGGCUGGGGCGCGCCUGCCAGAGGACCCCAUAUUCUAAUGUUUACAUGUCGUCUGAGAAUUAUAUAAUAAGUUAAAACUUUCAACAACGGAUCUCUUGGUUCUGGCAUCGAUGAAGAACGCAGCGAAAUGCGAUAAGUAAUGUGAAUUGCAGAAUUCAGUGAAUCAUCGAAUCUUUGAACGCACAUUGCGCCCCUUGGUAUUCCGGGGGGCAUGCCUGUUCGAGCGUCAUUUCAACCCUCAAGCACAGCUUGGUCUUGGGCCCUGCCGGCAACGGCUGGCCUUAAAAACAGUGGCGGCGCCAUCGAGCUCUACGCGUAGUAAUUAUACCCUCGCGUGUGAGUCCCGGUGGAUGCUGGCCAGCAACCCCCAAUUUUUUAUGGUUGACCUCGAAUCAGGUAGGGAUACCCGCUGAACUUAAGCAUAUCAAUAAGCGGAGGAAAAGAAACCAACAGGGAUUACCUCAGUAACGGCGAGUGAAGCGGUAACAGCUCAAAUUUGAAAUCUGGCUCUUUCAGGGUCCGAGUUGUAAUUUGUAGAAGAUGCUUCGGGUGUGGCUCCGGUCUAAGUUCCUUGGAACAGGACGUCAUAGAGGGUGAGAAUCCCGUAUGUGACUGGCUGCCUCCGCCCAUGUGAAGCUCUUUCGACGAGUCGAGUUGUUUGGGAAUGCAGCUCAAAAUGGGUGGUAAAUUUCAUCUAAAGCUAAAUAUUGGCCAGAGACCGAUAGCGCACAAGUAGAGUGAUCGAAAGAUGAAAGGCACUUUGGAAAGAGAGUUAAACAGUACGUGAAAUUGUUGAAAGGGAAGCGCUUGCAAUCAGACUUGCACGCUGUUGAUCAUCGGAGGUUCUCCCCCGUGCACUCGGCAGCGUUCAGGCCAGCAUCGGUUUGGGUGGUUAGAUAAAGGCCUUGGGAAUGUAGCUUCUUUCGGGGAGUGUUAUAGCCCUUGGUGCAAUGUAGCCUACCUGGACCGAGGACCGCGCUUCGGCUAGGAUGCUGGCGUAAUGGUUGUAAGCGACC
Molecule: ribosomal RNA, 1142 nt
Filed under: uncultured Helotiales
Lineage: Eukaryota; Fungi; Ascomycota; Leotiomycetes; Helotiales
Description: eukaryotic LSU rRNA
Rfam family: Eukaryotic large subunit ribosomal RNA (bases 509-1142)
Source: RNAcentral